GAUGAACGCUGGCGGCGUGCCUAAUACAUGCAAGUCGAGCGAACAGAUGAGGAGCUUGCUCCUCUGACGUUAGCGGCGGACGGGUGAGUAACACGUGGAUAACCUAUCUAUAAGACUGGGAUAACUUCGGGAAACCGGAGCUAAUACCGGAUAAUAUAUUGAACCGCAUGGUUCAAUAGUGAAAGACGGUUUUGCUGUCACUUAUAGAUGGAUCCGCGCCGCAUUAGCUAGUUGGUAAGGUAACGGCUUACCAAGGCAACGAUGCGUAGCCGACCUGAGAGGGUGAUCGGCCACACUGGAACUGAGACACGGUCCAGACUCCUACGGGAGGCAGCAGUAGGGAAUCUUCCGCAAUGGGCGAAAGCCUGACGGAGCAACGCCGCGUGAGUGAUGAAGGUCUUCGGAUCGUAAAACUCUGUUAUUAGGGAAGAACAAAUGUGUAAGUAACUAUGCACGUCUUGACGGUACCUAAUCAGAAAGCCACGGCUAACUACGU
RNAcentral lists this ribosomal RNA (496 nucleotides) under uncultured bacterium. RNAcentral's name for it is "partial 16S ribosomal RNA". It matches the Rfam family "Bacterial small subunit ribosomal RNA", at positions 28 to 506 of the family's 1533-position model. The record is from RNAcentral.